RNAcentral lists this ribosomal RNA (810 nucleotides) under uncultured bacterium. RNAcentral's name for it is "bacterial SSU rRNA". It matches the Rfam family "Bacterial small subunit ribosomal RNA", at positions 51 to 878 of the family's 1533-position model. The record is from RNAcentral.
ACACAUGCAAGUCGAACGGAGAAAAUAGCUUCGGUUGUUUUCUUAGUGGCGGACGGGUGAGUAACACGUGAGGAACCUGCCUCUGAGAGUGGGAUAGCUUCUGGAAACGGAUGGUAAUACCGCAUAACAUAGCGAAACCGCAUGAUUUUGCUAUCAAAGUAUUUCGCUCAGAGAUGGCCUCGCGUCUGAUUAGAUAGUUGGUGAGGUAACGGCUCACCAAGUCGACGAUCAGUAGCCGGACUGAGAGGUUGAACGGCCACAUUGGGACUGAGACACGGCCCAGACUCCUACGGGAGGCAGCAGUGGGGGAUAUUGCACAAUGGGGGAAACCCUGAUGCAGCGAUGCCGCGUGGAGGAAGAAGGUUUUCGGAUUGUAAACUCCUGUCGUAAGGGAAGAGAAAGGACUGUACCUUACAAGAAAGCUCCGGCUAACUACGUGCCAGCAGCCGCGGUAAUACGUAGGGAGCGAGCGUUGUCCGGAAUGACUGGGUGUAAAGGGAGCGUAGGCGGGAUGGCAAGUCAGAUGUGAAACCUGAGGGCUCAACCUUCAGACUGCAUUUGAAACUGCUGUUCUUGAGUGAAGUAGAGGUAAGCGGAAUUCCUGGUGUAGCGGUGAAAUGCGUAGAGAUCAGGAGGAACAUCGGUGGCGAAGGCGGCUUACUGGGCUUUUACUGACGCUGAGGCUCGAAAGCGUGGGGAGCAAACAGGAUUAGAUACCCUGGUAGUCCACGCUGUAAACGAUGAUUACUAGGUGUGGGGGGAUUGACCCCUUCCGUGCCGCAGUUAACACAAUAAGUAAUCCACCUGGGG